Molecule: non-coding RNA, 88 nt
Organism: Mycena vulgaris
Lineage: Eukaryota; Fungi; Basidiomycota; Agaricomycetes; Agaricales; Mycenaceae
Source: the annotation of a GenBank genome assembly
AGCAGUAUGGUGUAGCGUGCACACGGGGCUCUCUUAGGAUGAGAUAGUAGUACACCCGGAGGUCCUCGUUCGAAUCGAGGUACUGCUC